GAAUAAACUUACUGCUGAAAAUGAGCAGCUGAAGGAAACAAAAGAGUUACUAGUUGAGGAACAUGAAGCUGCAAAGAACAUUUCUGAACAAGUUUCUUUGAUUCAAGGGUUCCUUGUUAUUGACAAUGAAUUGGUGAAUAAAAUUACUGCUGAAAAUGAGAAGCUGAAGG
Hibiscus syriacus is the source of this 170-nucleotide long non-coding RNA. RefSeq lists it as uncharacterized. NCBI's taxonomy places the organism in Eukaryota, Viridiplantae, Streptophyta, Magnoliopsida, Malvales, Malvaceae. The transcript has 2 exons. The record is from RefSeq and is a predicted model, not a curated record.